RNAcentral lists this long non-coding RNA (1080 nucleotides) under Zonotrichia albicollis (white-throated sparrow). RNAcentral's name for it is "lncRNA (ENSZALG00000017248.1)". Lineage: Eukaryota; Metazoa; Chordata; Aves; Passeriformes; Passerellidae. The record is from RNAcentral.
GGCCCAUUGUAUGGAAAAUCGAUUAGCAGGAAUUGCCACGCUCUUUGCCUCCCGCUUGAUUGUUGGAAAAUCGAGACAUCCAUAGGCAAAGGCUGGGCUGGGGAAGGUUUGGAACCGAAAUGAAAGGGUUUGCGAGGGAUCUAUAGGCACUAAAUAAUUCACCUGCCAGGCGAUGGUGCUGUUAUUUUGAAGCCUUAAAGAACUUUAGGGAACUUUUUGACUCCCGGCGGGGUGCGUGGAGCCGCUUUCCGGCUCCGUUUCUUCCCUUGCCCGGUAAAACCGGAGGUUUGGCCGGUGCCCGGUGCCUGCUCGNCGUCCCUGCCGUGUCCCCUUCCAUCCUUGCCUUGUCCCUUCCCUGUCUCCUUUCCCAUUUUCCCUCACCAGUGCCCGUCUCUGUCCCUGCCUAUCUAUCCCAACUUCGUUUCCCAUUUUCCUUAUCCUGUCCCCUUCCAUCCUUGCCUUGUCCCUUCCUUGUCUCCUUUCCCAUUUUCCCUCAUCAUCACCGAUACCUGGCUCUGACCCUUCCUGUCUCUUCCUCGUCUCCUUUCCCAUUUUCCCUCACUCUCACCAGUGCCUGGCUCUGUCCCUGCCUAUCUAUCCCAGCUUCAUUUCCCAUUUUCCUUAUCCCGUCCCCUUCCAUCCUUGCCUUGUCCCUUCCCUGUCUCCUUUCCCAUUUUCCCUCAUCAGAGCCUUUCUCUGUCCAUCCCGGCUUCAUUUCCCAUUUUCCCCCAGCCCAGCCUUUCCUGCCCCCAGCGCUGCCUCCCUCGGCUCCUCCCGCAGACCGGGCCAGCCCCGGGAGGGGUUCCCCGGUACCUCGGUACCCCCGUACCCCGGUACCCGGUACCUGUUACAGGGCUGAGCCCCCGGAUCGGACCGGGGCUCGCCCAAGGCCCUCCCUGCCUUUCCUCUGCCCUCGGCAGCGGGGAGAGAAGUGUCCAAAGCCGGGAGAAUCUUAGCGAAAAAGCACAGACGGUUUCUCCCGAGGCAGGUGAAGGAGCCUGAAGAAAUAGGAAAAUAUCUGCGGAAAACACAGAAACACAAGGGGAAAUUAAAAAAAUAUUGUAUGUGCUUAAAAAAUCC